This is a non-coding RNA of Kogia breviceps (pygmy sperm whale), 261 nucleotides long. NCBI's taxonomy places the organism in Eukaryota, Metazoa, Chordata, Mammalia, Artiodactyla, Physeteridae. The record is from RefSeq and is a predicted model, not a curated record.
GUUCAGUGGAGGAGUAGACAUAAGAAGAAACAAAUAUGGCACAGUGACUUUACUCGCCUGCAGACUUCAAUGAAGUAUAAUGCUGCCACAGACUCCCUCUAAGCAAGCUGUCAUAAGGAGGGCCCGAAGUGGUUACUUCUGGAAGCUUCCAUCUAACCAACCUAUCUCACUUCCCAGGAUACUUGCAUGAUAAUCUCUGGGUCCAUCCAUGUAGCUGCAAAUGGCAUUAUUUCAUUUUUAUGGGUGAGUAACAUUCCAUUU